AUGAUUCUCCCAUGUUUUCUCAACCGUUUUCCUCUGGAAAACGUCAGUCGUUGCUGGUUGGGUACUUAUUACGUUUCCAGAAUUGUUGCUCGGAAACGCAUUACAAUUACGCCUUACGUGUUCUCAAAUACUUGUACCUAUUCAACAAAAGACCUCAAACUAACUUUCUCUCAUAAUCCUAAAGGAAUACAAUUAGAUGCUUUUUCAGAUUCUGAUCAUAGAUCCGAUCCUAUCGAUCGUAAAUCAACUUCAGGCAUUCUAAUUCGUUUAAACCAUAUACCAAUCUUGUGGAAAUCCCAAAAACAACAGGUUGUAUCAAAAGCAUCGACACAUGCAGAGUACUAUGCGCUAUCGGAAACAGCAACUGAAUUGCUUGAAAUUAUAGUCAUACUGAAAGAUUUUCAAAUUAUUUUUAAACAACCCAUUCCAAUCUUUGGAGAUAACAAAGGAGCCUAUGACAUAGGUAGCUUGAAAUGGAAGGUUCCAUAAAAACUCUAAGCAUAUAGAAAUAAGAUAUCAUUUUGUUUAUGACUAUGUUAAGAAAAUAUUAUCAAAAUUAUCAAAAUAAGUAAGGACGACCAACUUGCAGACAUAUUGACCAAACCGUUAGGCAAACAUCUGUUUGAAAUUUUCAGAAAUCGCCUUUCUCUCAAAUAACCGUUCAAUUAUUGUUUGUUCUCCAUUCCUAAAUCAGGAAGGCAUGAUUGCAAGCGUGUUCUAUUGAUUUGUGAACAGGAAUUUUUCUAUUCAAACAAUUGUGGUUGCAAACACAAUUAUAUUUUAAAGAAAACAAAUAAAUAAAAAGAAAAAUGAAUAACGUUAUUUGGUCAAUCAAUCAUAAUAAAAACGAUAAUUAAAUUCCGUCUGAAAUAUGUUCUAUUGUAUAUUCAAUGCUGAAUUCGAAAAGCAAAUGUAUAAAGUGAAAAAGAAAAAUAUAAAUUUUGUUUUGAUCGUCGAUUAAUGUCAUGACAUUACUCGCUAAACCAUAUUAUUGUUAAGAAAAUCAUAACCAAUGAAAUCCAAAGGCUAAUAAUUAAUUUUCUUUAGUACUAUGUCCAAGAAGACAAUUUUUUUGUCAAAUAGCAAUUACUGAUAAUUAACAUGUUUCUUUUGAAUAUUGAUUUUAAUUUAGUAUCUCUGGGAAAACGAUACUAAAUUAGGGAGGCAUGUUGGAAUGCAUGAUAGAUUCAUACUUCCCGCAUUCAAUACAAAUCGGUGUUGUACACCGGUGACUCGAGUAGUCACCACCACCUCUCUGUACUGUGCCUAUUAUUAACUUGUUCAUCAUCAUGUCCUCUGCAAUAACGAAUAAACUUUAUCCAUGUGAAUGAAUGCAUCUUUUCCUUCCAAUGAAUCAAUAUAAACUUCCACAGACACAGACUUGUACAAAAAAACAGGUUUUAUUUUUUAAUGUAGUAAGAUAAGAUAAGAUAUGAUAAGAUAAGGUGAAAUGUGCUAGAAUUCUUGGCCUUGAUUUCCCUGCGCAGAAUAGUGUGGACUGAGCACAACUUCACCAUCCUUAUACUUAUAGGUACAUGUCGGGCCGGAUUUUUGGUGUUUUUUAGUGUCUGGCCAUACCUGUAGAUGUGUUUGACCCUUAACUGGGUUCUCACUAUGCAACCCCAUUUGCAUCUUCGCUAUAAGGAACGUCGGUAAGUGAUUCGGUAAGUGACGAUUCUUAAUAGUUAACAACGAUGUUUAUCCUUCAUUUAAAUGUACUUGAAACAAGUCUAUUUUCUAUAGAUUACACUAGGCAACAAAAUUUUGGGUUGAAUUUGCCAAUCAAACGGGACAUGUUUCUUUCUACUCAGGGGGGUCUAAUGAUGACUAAAAUGAAGUCCUAAAAAAUUCUCUAGCUCUGGUUUUCAAAAUACUUAGGGUUUUUUGCAUUUUUAAGGGUAAAUUUUGAGUAUUUAAGGGGAUUAUCAAAUAAUUUAUGGCCAGUUUUAAUAAAUGUUUCCAAUUGACUUUAAACUCGGUCAGCCUCAUUCAGAUGGGUCUACUGAAGACAAAAAUGGGCGCAAAAAAACAGAAAGCAUAUUUUUUAAAUUUUCAGGAUUUUAUUUUAGUCAAAAAAGUAUGUAUUUAGUCUUUUAUGGGGUUUUAGGGGGCUUAGAGCUCUUGAUUCAUGAUUCAACUUUGAAUUGACUUUUUAAACGGCUAGAGACUCUGUAUGUUCUCGCUGUACUGGUCUAUUAAAGCAAAACAUGGGUAUGGAACAAAUAUAUUCUACCGCCUCUGUUUGAAAUUUGGAGGAUUUUUGAGUAAAAAAGGCUCGAUUUUUGUGGGUCUUGAGGCGAUCAGAGCUGUGAUUAGGCUUACAAUUUAAUUUAAAUUUAAAUUAAUUUAAGGCUGAAAAUUAAAAAAAUAGGCUUUCUGUUUUUUUUGCGCCCAUUUUUGUCUUCAGUAGACCCAUCUGAAUGAGGCUGACCGAGUUUAAAGUCAA
This 2446-nucleotide long non-coding RNA is filed under the name Bemisia tabaci. RNAcentral describes it as "lncRNA ENSSSA2NGG003300". Lineage: Eukaryota; Metazoa; Arthropoda; Insecta; Hemiptera; Aleyrodidae. The record is from RNAcentral.